ACCUAUUCCCUUUAAUAAACUCAUAUUCUCUUCUUUGUUGCCUUCCUUUGUUUUCAUACGCAGGGCUUUGGCAAAUUAUGGACUAGGUGAUUUUUUUCUAUGGGUUGAUCUUGGUUUAAAGGUUCUAUGCGCUCCUCUAUGUUUGUAGGGAUAGCUUCCACCUCCUCAACCUAGUUUUUCUCAUGCUCUUCCUUGUUAAUAGGUCACUAUUCUCCCCCCGAGUCUGGUUUUAUUUGCAAUCUCAUUCCUUUCUUCCUUCCCGCUGGCUUCUUCCAUGCGCUCUUGAGCUUCUUCCUAUGUUGAUUCUUCUAUGACUAACACACUAAAUCUUGAUUUUCAUUCAGCUUUGUUGCUUCUUUCCUUGUCUUUGCUAGGUUCUAUAUCAUUACUUGAGUCAAUCUCUUUUUGGCCUCUCUUUACUCUUUUUGGCCUUUGUGCAACCAUUCAUUCUCCAUAAUCAUCUUGGCAUGUGUAGGCAAUUUACUUUCUAUUGUCUUGUCUUCUUGCUUUUCCUUGUGCUUGUUUAUUAGUCAUAGCUCUAUUGGUGUUUUCAUUCUGUUCCUGGUUUUGUGCCAUUGCCUCUUCUGUUAUGUUUUGCUCCUGUUUAUGCGAACAAAUUUUUUUAUCAUGAUCUAUUCUUUCACAAGAAAAAUAGAUUUGAUGAAUUUCCUCAUACUCCACAUGAUAUUCCCUCCUGUUAAUAAAGUAUCUCCCUAUUAAAGGUUUUGUGAGGUCCACUUCAAUGCACAAUCUAGCGAAUUCGCCUCUGCACAAAUUAACUAUGUUGUUGUCUACUUUCGCUGUUCUUCCAAUGACAUUUUCUAUCUUCCUUAUGAUCCAUGUUGUGAUUUUAUCAAUACUAACUAUUGGGGGGUUGAAGUUUGGUUCCCAUAACCUGAUUGUUAAAUAAUGAUCAUAUAGUUUCCAUGGUCCUUUCAACAAAGCAAAAUCAAAAUCUUCACUGGAGAAAAAUUUAACAAGAUAAAAAUCUUGCCCUAUGUCAAUGACAUCUAUGCAUCCUCUUUAUUCCCACAUUGCUUCUAACCUCUUUUUCAUGGCUGCAUACCCCACUCUUCGACCAAGGAGUUUGACGAUUAGGGUAUUCUACCAUGACCUCCACAAUUUUCUCUCAGCAGAUUCACUUAUGAUAAUAUUGAAGAGACUAUUUCUAACUUCUUCCACUUUGAUUUUAGCUCCUGUCUCCUCCAUCAUUUCCUGGUCAUGUUUCUCUUGCACUGAUGGUUGCCGAGGGUGAGUCCCACCAGGUCAUCAACACCGGACAUGUGGAUGACACGCACAAAUCGAGAAAUUAUUAAAUAAUUUUGUAUAAUUUUGCCUUCGAUGUGGGUGAUAAUUGACAUUUUAUUCAAAUCGAUGCCAUUUAUUGUGCCUUUUUUUGGAUAAGUUCAGACUCCAAAACCAGGCUCGAACUGACAAAACUGCAAUCCAACCGGCUGAAUUUGAAAAAAAAAAUCACGGCUCUCCUUCAUUCUCCAUGGCUGCCGCUGCUGUUCUUCAAAGGAGGAGUCCAAUACUCGUGACACUCAUUGCCUCCUCGUCUCCUCCUUGUGUAGCCUGCUUUCUAUCGCCAUCAGUUGUUGUCUUCACAGUUGGUCUUCAUCUUCGCCAAUCAGCGGUAGGAUGCAGUUUCCCGGAGAUGUCACGAUGCCGCUGCUGAAUUCGUCUCCGAUGCUACCUCUAAUACAUCUGCCGUCCCUGGACUUAAUACUCCGACCAUCGUUGCUUGGUAACCAUCAUCGUUGUUGCUCGAAGUUAAUAAUUGGAACAGCUUUUUGCUGGAGUUUGUUGAAGAUGAUUCUGCCUUUUGUUGCAGCAACGUUUUCUUUCUUUGCCUCUCUGCACCUCCUUUUCUGCUCAAUUCAGCUUCUAUCGUCAACUCUCUGAUGAUUUCCGUCAGGAGACUCCAGCUCCAUAAACGAUUUAGCCUAUCCUCUAGCUCCAUCCCAGCAAUUUUAUGUGCCAGUUAAUUACUCUCUCUCGGUAUUCAAGUGAACCUGAUGUCACCAUCUUCUCCCUUCAUUUGGAGAUAUCCAUGAGGAUGGGAUCAAUGUCUACCACUCUGCUUCCGGCCUUUAGCGCCUGUACUACUUGUGAGUUAACAGACUCGAUUAAUAUUUUAUUCAUUCCUAGAUUUUUAAUUAGAAUAAUUGCUUCCCUAAUCGCUAUGGCUUCAGCUACCAAACUUGAAGCGGCUAUAAUUCUUAAUGUUGAACCUGCCAUCAGCUUUCCCUCUCCAUCCCUUACAACAACUGCAACAGCUCCCUCUCUAGUGGUUGUUUUAUAGGACGCGUCAAUAUUGGCUUUCAUCCAUGGUUGAGGAGGAGGAUUCCGGGUAUUUUCUGACUGAAAUUGAGGGUCCUGAGCAAAAAUCUGAUCAAGAGACUGAAAAGGACUGUAGAUGCUGUUGGAUUCUGACCUCCCUGCACUCGAAGCGGAUUUUCUGGAGCUACAGAAGCCCAAUUGGCGCGCUCUCAACGGCAUUGGAAAGUAGACAUCCAGGGCUUUCCAGCAAUAUAUAAUAGUCCAUACUUUGUCCAAGAUUUGAUGGCCCAAACCCGCGUAGCAAUCCGGCCUCGGAAAUUCCAGCGUUAAACGCCGGAACUGGAAUAAAAGUUGGAGUUAAACGCCCAAACUGGCAUGAGAACUGGCGUUUAACUCCAGAAAAGGUCUCUACACGAAUUUCCUUGAUUGCUCAGCCCAAGCACACACCAAGUGGGCCCAAGAAGUGGAUUUUUCUGUCAUUUACUCAUUUCUGUAAAACUGAGGAUACUAGUUUACUACUUAAAGGACCUUUUGACAUUGUAAUCAGAACCUUAUGACCUCAUAACAUUUUUGUACACGUUCUUUCCACAGUAUGAGCCUCUAAACCCCAUGGUUGGGGGUGAGGAGCUCUGCUGUGUCUUGAUGGAUUAAUGCAAUUACUACUGUUUCUUAUUCAA
Molecule: long non-coding RNA, 2960 nt
Organism: Arachis stenosperma
Lineage: Eukaryota; Viridiplantae; Streptophyta; Magnoliopsida; Fabales; Fabaceae
Exons: 4
Source: RefSeq, a predicted model, not a curated record